Molecule: non-coding RNA, 690 nt
Filed under: Ornithodoros savignyi
Lineage: Eukaryota; Metazoa; Arthropoda; Arachnida; Ixodida; Argasidae
Source: RNAcentral
AUAUUUAUAUAGUAAAUAGUAUUUGCAUUGUUAAGUUCUUUAUGUUAUGAAGUAGAUCAUUUUAUAUAGAAGAUACAUUUAUUGAUUUUGUUACCCAAAAAUAGAUUUAAAUUUAGUUCCGGCGAAGCCUGUGCCAGCCGCCGCGGUUAUACAGGCGGAGUAAAAGUAUUUUUGUUACGGAAAUAAAAUUUUUUAUAGGUUGUAUGCAUUUAGGUGAAAUUUGUGCUUGGGUUUUAGAUUUUGUUUUUAUGGAGUUCUGUAUUAAAUUAGGAUUAGAUACCCUAUUAUUCAGAAAAAAGAGGUUGGUAGUAAUUUGAGGGUUUUAAAAUCAAAAGAUUAUGGCGGUAUUUUAAGCUAUUUAGAGGAAUUUGUUCUAUAAUGGAUGUGGCUCAGAGAUCUGACUUGGGUUGGUUAGGCAGUUUGUAUAUCGCUAUCAUGUAAUAAUAUUGAUUGAUUAAUAAUUGAGAUUGUAAUUAACAAUAACGUUAGGUCAAAAUGCAGCUAAAGUUCAAGGUUGAAAUAAAUUACUUUUAUUUAUAUAUGGUUUUUUGAAAGAUAGGAUUUAGGAUUUAAUAGUAAAUUAAAAUUAUAAUGUUUGGUUGAAUGAAGCUCUAGGAUAUGCACAUAUCGCCCGUCACUCUCAGGGAUGAGAUAAGUCGUAACAAAGUAAAAGUACCGGAAGGUGUUUUU